This 73-nucleotide transfer RNA is filed under the name Candidatus Kaiserbacteria bacterium. Its description in RNAcentral is "tRNA-Lys". It matches the Rfam family "tRNA". From Rfam's summary of the family: Transfer RNA (tRNA) molecules are approximately 80 nucleotides in length. Their secondary structure includes four short double-helical elements and three loops (D, anti-codon, and T loops). Further hydrogen bonds mediate the characteristic L-shaped molecular structure. tRNAs have two regions of fundamental functional importance: the anti-codon, which is responsible for specific mRNA codon recognition, and the 3' end, to which the tRNAs corresponding amino acid is attached (by aminoacyl-tRNA synthetases). tRNAs cope with the degeneracy of the genetic code in two manners: having more than one tRNA (with a specific anti-codon) for a particular amino acid; and 'wobble' base-pairing, i.e. permitting non-standard base-pairing at the 3rd anti-codon position. The record is from RNAcentral. Lineage: Bacteria; Candidatus Kaiseribacteriota.
CCGCCCAUAGCUCAGUUGGUAGAGCAGCCGGCUCUUAACCGGGAGGUCCUAGGUUCGAGUCCUAGUGGGCGGA